CCGGCUGUUUGGCUGUGUGAGGAGCCCACACAGGGAAAAUGGUGCCUUUCCUCCAGCCCUCGCCUGAAGCCACCCACCUCAGUGUGCCCCCCGUGUGUCUCCGACACCCCAGAGGCACCGCCCCACCGCUGGAGCCCAAGGAGACCCUAGCCUACCCUGGCUGCUCCAGAAGCUGGAACCUCCUAGAGAUCCAGGAGAGGCAGAGAAGAAGGGGCAGCCACUGCUAAAAAGGAGUCGCAAGACCAAUGGGCCACUCCAGCUCCUGAAUUCCGUGUGCUCAUUGCAAGGUUGCAGGAGAGGGAAGCUGUGGGGUCAAAAGUGAGUCAUUUUCCAGGCAGAGAAGGAAUACCAAGAAGGCAGGUAAGAAGGCACAGAGGUGGAAAGCAGUUCUGUUUGCUUUGGCAGUUCAGGUGUCUGGGGGUUGGGCGGGGUGCCUCCAAGGCGGGCGGCAGAUGAGACCAGGCCCGGCACUGCGCCGGCAACUUCAGGUUGAAGCUAGACCUCAGUCAAGUGGAAAAUGGGCGCCCCCUGGGAGCAGCGCCGGGUAGUGGACGCCGAGGCCCGAGCUGAGGAAGGAGUGGGACGGGAGAGAGGGUGCGGCUCAAAUUGCCUGCCCGCCAGUUUUGUCCUCACAGGAGCGAACUCCUUCCAGCACGAUGGAUUCCUGGGGUCCCAGAGCAACCAGGCAACCAGGAACCAGGAACCUCGAAAAAGCAUCAACCAACCCGUGCCCCCAUUCAGGCCCUGAGCUGAGCGCUUUCGCGAACACUGUCUUAACACGCCUAGCUCUGCUGCGAGAAUAGCGAGUGAAGGCGUGAGACUACAAUUCCCGGCAGGUCGUUGAGAAGGGGUGACGGAGAGGAGGAAAGACUCGGUUUCCGUCGGCUUGCAAUUUGGCGUGUCCACCGUGAUGCACAUUUCACCAGCCCACUUCCUUUCUCUCUAGAAGCUACCGAAGGGACUACGUCCCCCAGCAGGUGUUGCCGCAGGGAGCGAGUGGUAGGCCGCUAUCUUUACUGUAGUCCUUUCCCCCGUUUCCGCAGGGAGUAGCUUUAGCGCGUGAACUACAAAUCCCAGGUCGUCCCCGCCCCUUUCCUUCGGCCGCCAUCUUUGCUGGUAGUCCCCGCCCCUUUUUCCUUUCCAUUGUCUCGACCGAAGAUAAUAGAGAGGCGCCGGGAAGACUGCAACUCCCGUCAGGCUCUGCGGCACGGGGAGGGGCUUUUCGAGAUUAUAGACGCGGGCGAGGUGCCCAAGGUGGUAAAAAGAGGGGACGGGUAGAGGCUAGGUAGCCUGCCAUCUUUAUGGUAGUCUCCUUAACCUCCCGGUUCCGUCAUUCUUAAGGAACACUAAAAGGCAAGAAAAACUACUAUUCCCAUCGCACCUCAUAAAAUAGACUACUAGUCAGGUGUACGCCCCUCUUCCGCCAUCUUGCUUGUAGUCCGCGUUCCUUUUCACCUUUCCAUUGUUCCUGACGAGUAGAAAUGGCAGCGGGAUGGCAGCAGAUGGACUGCGACUCCCGUCAGGUACCACACACGCGGAGAGUUGUGGACAGGGGGGCGUGUGAGUGCCUGGGAAGGAGGUCGGGUCAGGGAAGCAGGCCAUCUUGUUUGUAGUCCUCGUUCCCACUCCUUCUGUAUGCUCUGCAACGGGGAGCCUCGGGGCAACUGGACUCUAACUCCCGGCAUUCUCGGCUCUCGGUUUGGCACGCCCUCCGCCAUCUUGCUUGUAGUCCCCGUAGGCCCCAGCGUCCCAUUGUUCCCACGGAGGCACCAGCGUCCUCAGGACUACGACUUCCGUCGUGCCCUGCGCGCGUCUUGCCUGGAAA
This is a long non-coding RNA of Rhinolophus ferrumequinum (greater horseshoe bat), 1825 nucleotides long. RefSeq lists it as uncharacterized. Lineage: Eukaryota; Metazoa; Chordata; Mammalia; Chiroptera; Rhinolophidae. The record is from RefSeq and is a predicted model, not a curated record. The transcript is spliced from 4 exons.